This 254-nucleotide ribosomal RNA is filed under the name uncultured bacterium. Its description in RNAcentral is "partial 16S ribosomal RNA". It matches the Rfam family "Bacterial small subunit ribosomal RNA", at positions 524 to 776 of the family's 1533-position model. The record is from RNAcentral.
UACGUAGGGGGCAAGCGUUGUCCGGAAUUACUGGGCGUAAAGCGCGCGCAGGCGGCCUUUUAAGUCUCGUGGUGAAAUGCCGGGGCUCAACCCCGUGCCCGCCGGAGAUACUGGGAGGCUGGAGACGAGUAGAGGCAAGCGGAAUUCCGGGUGUAGCGGUGGAAUGCGUAGAGAUCCGGAAGAACACCGGAGGCGAAGGCGGCUUGCUGGGCUCGGUCUGACGCUGAGGCGCGAAAGCGUGGGGAGCGAACAGG